GCAAAUUAAACAAACAAAAGAGAAAUCAACUUUCGAUGGCCUGAAUUUGGAUAGCUGCAUCGAAGUCCUCCCAAAAGAAGCAUGGAAGUUCCAAAACUUCAAAUAUCAUCAGAGCUAGCAGGUUGUCGAUAACAAUUCCAUGAACAAGCUCAUAUGGCUGUCAUGAGAAACAGGUUGUCCACUGAUCAUAGUGAAUCACAUCCAUGGAAUGCAUGUAAUACGAUGUAUGAACCUGCAAACAGAAAGUAAAUGGCCAUUAUUCAGAAUUUCUGGGGAAAAAAAUGCUAAUGAUAUAUCACUGGUCAGAGCACAUAUGGCCCCCACCACCUCCC
RNAcentral lists this long non-coding RNA (332 nucleotides) under Setaria viridis. RNAcentral describes it as "long non-coding RNA (SVIR_LNC002009)". Lineage: Eukaryota; Viridiplantae; Streptophyta; Magnoliopsida; Poales; Poaceae. The record is from RNAcentral.